GGGGACAGGGGGACCACAAACGCAAAAAAAAUACAGCACAUUUUCAGACAACCCAAACCCAACAUUAAAAAAGCCAUCCCCAGAUAACGGCGUAAACAAUCACAAUACAAUAUAAAAAGCUUCAUCAGAUUCAAGACAAACCUUCCAGCAAAUUCGAGAAAAACCACUUCACGGACACCUACAAUCGAGUCGCGAUUGAAGUCCAAAUAGGGAAUGGCCAAGCUCCAAACCGCGAUUGAAGUCCAACUCUGGAUCGUCUCCACUUACGAUUGCCCAUGAACUUUCAGAUGGUACUCUCAGAUCCCUUUUUGAUUUACCAGAUCCCAAAUUCCCCUUUUUUAAUUCACUCAACCCUAAUUCCCUUUCCCUUUUUUAAUUAACUAACCCUAAUCCCCUUUUUUAAUUUACUAACCCUAAUCCCCUUUUUAAUUUCAUUUUAUCAGUUAACUAUGCCANGUGCCACUCAGUUAUCCGNCACGUUUNNNAAUGUUGCCACGUCCUNCAUCCAACUNUGCCU
RNAcentral lists this long non-coding RNA (517 nucleotides) under Vigna radiata. RNAcentral describes it as "long non-coding RNA (VRAD_LNC013114)". Lineage: Eukaryota; Viridiplantae; Streptophyta; Magnoliopsida; Fabales; Fabaceae. The record is from RNAcentral.